This is a non-coding RNA of Anopheles epiroticus, 66 nucleotides long. The record is from Rfam. NCBI's taxonomy places the organism in Eukaryota, Metazoa, Arthropoda, Insecta, Diptera, Culicidae.
UAUUAUUGCAGUUCUGUAGAAGGGUUGGAUCCGACGCCUCUAGAAGGCUACUAUAGGCUCUCCUUC